GUUAGUGGAACGGAUUGGAAAGUCCGGCGAUACAGGGUGAUAGCCCCGUACACGAAGACGCAUUGCUGUGAGCUCGAUGAGUAGGACGGGACACGUGGUAUCCUGUUUGAAGAUGGGGGGACCAUCCUCCAAGGCUAAAUACUCCUGACUGACCGAUAGCGAACCAGUACCGUGAGGGAAAGGCGAAAAGAACCCCUGUGAGGGGAGUGAAAUAGAACCUGAAACCGUGUACGUACAAGCAGUGGGAGCACCUUCGUGGUGUGACUGCGUACCUUUUGUAUAAUGGGUCAGCGACUUACAUUUUGUAGC
RNAcentral lists this ribosomal RNA (309 nucleotides) under Plesiomonas shigelloides. Its description in RNAcentral is "partial 23S ribosomal RNA". It matches the Rfam family "Bacterial large subunit ribosomal RNA", at positions 328 to 641 of the family's 2925-position model. Lineage: Bacteria; Pseudomonadati; Pseudomonadota; Gammaproteobacteria; Enterobacterales; Enterobacteriaceae. The record is from RNAcentral.